AACCGCUGAAAGCAUCUAAGCGGGAAGCCUGCUUCGAGAUGAGGACUCCCACCUCCUUUGAGGGGGUAAGGCUCCCGGGAGACGACCGGGUUGAUAGGCCGGAGAUGGAAGCUCCGUGAGGGGUGGAGUUGACCGGUACUAAUAGGCCGAGGGCUUGACCG
Molecule: ribosomal RNA, 161 nt
Filed under: Streptomyces mangrovi
Lineage: Bacteria; Bacillati; Actinomycetota; Actinomycetes; Kitasatosporales; Streptomycetaceae
Description: 23S rRNA. Bacterial LSU
Rfam family: Bacterial large subunit ribosomal RNA
Source: RNAcentral